Molecule: long non-coding RNA, 525 nt
Organism: Mus caroli (Ryukyu mouse)
Lineage: Eukaryota; Metazoa; Chordata; Mammalia; Rodentia; Muridae
Source: RefSeq, a predicted model, not a curated record
UGGAGAACUAUCAUAUCUUCUACAGUAACAUCCUUGUCUGUGUGCCUUUCCUGCCAUGAUGAAAUUGGAGUAAACUCUGAAACUAUGCCAAGGGACUCUCUGCUGCUGAGUGUCUAUGACAUCCUACAACUUACCACACCUAUGACCAGGUACUGUGUCUCAAAGGUUCUACAACCUACUACCUUUCCUUUGGAGCUAAAUCCAAGUGCCUGUGAAUAACCUUCUUAUCUCAAAGAUAAUGGGUCAACUUCAGAGAAGUAGAAAGAAGAAUGUUGAUCAGCGAGAUAAAGCAGAAGAAUAGAAUGUUAAUUUGGUGUUCAACAAUUAUAGCAUUUCUAUUUUGCAUCAUGAAUAGAUGUCACUGUUCAAUGUCAUGCUGUAUGCAAAUUAUAUGGCAUUGCAUGCUUACUACUUCAAGAAGAUAUAUGUUAAUAAACGUUUAAAUAUGUUUUGCAAAUGUAAAAAAAGGACAAUGUAAGUCUAUAACACACAUAAAGAAUUGACAAGAAUACAAAAAUUUUCUAA